This 226-nucleotide small RNA is filed under the name Histoplasma capsulatum var. duboisii H88. RNAcentral describes it as "Histoplasma capsulatum H88 hypothetical RNA". Lineage: Eukaryota; Fungi; Ascomycota; Eurotiomycetes; Onygenales; Ajellomycetaceae. The record is from RNAcentral.
CUGCCCUCGAGUUUCCAUUUGGGGGUUCCGGAAUGGUACCUAACUCGGUACAAAAGCCUCUAAGCCGUGGGACCGUACAUCUCAACCCCGACGACCCUCAUGGCGAACCGAUCGUUACAUACAACGCCUUCACGAACCCUUUCGAUCGCGCUCAGCUCGCCUCCUUCAUUGCAUUCACCCGCCGCUACUUCAAAACAAAUGCCCUCGCUGAUAUGCAGCCCCAGGA